CUUUUACUCUUGGUGGAAGAUGAAGCAGGAACAGGUGCGACACAUGAUAAGAAAACUGAGACACAGAAAAGUCACACAAGAUUAUCGAGGUCAACACAGAGAACAGUGGAACCUGCACCUGACCCCAGGCAGGCGGAACCUUCAUGACCACACCACACCACCACAGGGAACAGGCAGGGAAAACAAUGGGUCUAGCAGGACAAAAGUGACAUUUCCCAGAGUUUCUUGCUGUUUGGAUCUGGCUGCAGUUUCAGUUUUGCCAAGAAGAGGCAUUUCCAUGAGCUCUGGACAGUGGCAGAGAGGCAGAGGUGCUCCACUGCAGUGUGCUGGAUGGUCCACGGGCUCCUGCCAAUGUGAGGAUUUGCAGCAACUGGUAUAUCCAUGGUCUUGUCACCAGCUUCCUGAAUUCGGGGCAGCUGGAGCCACACUAGUGGUCCUUCCUUGCAGGGGCAGCAGCUGUCUCCUGGUCUCAGAAUCACAGCUGUGGGGAUGCAACCUUAAGCCAAAAGCCUAGCGGUGGGUGGUCCUAAACUUCUUUUGUCUAGGCCCUCUGAUCCCUCUGUAAGUCGCU
This 571-nucleotide long non-coding RNA is filed under the name Homo sapiens (human). Its description in RNAcentral is "non-protein coding LINC00951:4". Lineage: Eukaryota; Metazoa; Chordata; Mammalia; Primates; Hominidae. The record is from RNAcentral.